GCCUCUAUUUUUGGCAAUUGAUAGAAUUCACACUGUAACCUCAUUAUGUAAUCAGUGGUUCUCUCAUUGCCAAGCCUGGUG
Molecule: microRNA precursor, 81 nt
Filed under: Strongylocentrotus purpuratus (purple sea urchin)
Lineage: Eukaryota; Metazoa; Echinodermata; Echinoidea; Camarodonta; Strongylocentrotidae
Description: microRNA spu-mir-182 precursor
Gene: spu-mir-182
Source: miRBase by way of RNAcentral